GGGAUUCGUCCAUACUCUCGGUAAAGUUUGGAAGACCGCGACUGAUCCUGAAAGGGAAUGAAUGGUAAAAAUAGCAUGUCGUAUCAACGGAAAGUUCUGAAAAUAUUUAAUUGUUCCUAGAUGGGUAUAAAACUGUGUUAGAAUUCUUGGAACGGAACAAAAUAAAGUUGGGUCGAAUGAAUAAAUGGAUAAGGCUGCGGCUUCAAUUAAAUUAUAGGGAAAGAAAAAGCAACGAGCUUUUGUUCUUAAUUUGAAUGAUUCCCGAUCUAAUUAGACGUUAAAAAUUUAUUAGUGCCUGGUGCGGGAAGGGUUUCUUGUCCCAUGAGUGUGUUCUCAAUUUUUUUAAUGAAUCCUAACUAUUACCAUUUUCGAUUAUGGAGAUGUGUGUAGAAGAAACAGUAUAUUGAUAAAGAAAGUUUUUUCCGAAGUCAAAAGAGCGAUUAGGUUGAAAAAAUAAAGGAUUUCUAAACAUCUUAUUAUCCUAUAACACUAUAACAUAGACCAAUUAAAUGAAACGAAAAAAAAAAAAGAGAUGAUAGAGAAUCCGUUGAGAAGUUUACCUGUAUUCAAGGUAUCUAUUCUUACUACAAUACUUUGUUUUAACUGUAUCGCACUAUGUAUCAUUUGAUAACCCUCAAAAUCUUCCAUCUUUUGUUCAAAUCGAAUUUCAAAUGGAAGAAAUCCACAGAUAUUUACAGCCGGAUAGCUCGC
Molecule: unclassified non-coding RNA, 711 nt
Filed under: Hevea brasiliensis (rubber tree)
Lineage: Eukaryota; Viridiplantae; Streptophyta; Magnoliopsida; Malpighiales; Euphorbiaceae
Source: RNAcentral